GUGGGGAUUCCCGCGGCCCUGGCCACUACCCGGCCUGCCCCGCGGCAAGAUGGAGACCUGAACGCAGCUGGCAGCGGCGGAAACAGAAGAUUCAGGUGCCCCAGGGACUGGAAGAAAUUACAUUGCCUACUUGGAAAGAAGAAGAGAUAGCGACUUGCCCCCGCCCAACCCCAGAGCGGCUCCGGAGUUGGGCUGCUCACAAACCAAGCUGUCUGUUUAUAUGGAGUGCCUGGAGGGCGUCUGCCAUGAGUCUGUCGCUAACUGCACUAACCAGGAGAGCUGGCUGGUUGGGGAGAAGACACUAACCCUGUGAGUCUGACCUCGGCC
Molecule: long non-coding RNA, 327 nt
Filed under: Theropithecus gelada (gelada)
Lineage: Eukaryota; Metazoa; Chordata; Mammalia; Primates; Cercopithecidae
Description: lncRNA (ENSTGEG00000029651.1)
Source: RNAcentral